AAGCCGAUGAGGACUAAAUUUUGAAUUGGAAUUACCGUCUGAACAUACAUUUGAUGUGAAUUUCUGGCUUACUGAGGCUUCCU
Molecule: small nucleolar RNA, 83 nt
Organism: Abrus precatorius (Indian licorice)
Lineage: Eukaryota; Viridiplantae; Streptophyta; Magnoliopsida; Fabales; Fabaceae
Source: RefSeq, a predicted model, not a curated record